Molecule: ribosomal RNA, 448 nt
Filed under: uncultured bacterium
Lineage: Bacteria
Description: bacterial SSU rRNA
Rfam family: Bacterial small subunit ribosomal RNA
Source: RNAcentral
GACUCCGUGGCUACAGAACGACGCUGGCGGCAUGCCUAACACAUGCAAGUCGAACGAGACCUUCGGGUCUAGUGGCGCACGGGUGCGUAACACGUGGGAAUUUGCCUCGGGGUAUGGAAUAACUCAGGGAAACUUGAGCUAAUACCAUAUAAUGUCUUCGGACCAAAGAUUUAUCGCCCUGAGAUAAGCCCGCGUAGGAUUAGCUAGUUGGUGAGGUAAAGGCUCACCAAGGCGACGAUCCUUAGCUGGUCUGAGAGGAUGAUCAGCCACACUGGGACUGAGACACGGCCCAGACUCCUACGGGAGGCAGCAGUGGGGAAUAUUGGACAAUGGGCGAAAGCCUGAUCCAGCAAUGCCGCGUGAGUGAUGAAGGCCUUCGGGUUGUAAAGCUCUUUUACUCGGGACGAUAAUGACGGUACCGAGAGAAUAAGCCCCGGCUAACUCCGUG